This is a long non-coding RNA of Raphanus sativus (radish), 1691 nucleotides long. RefSeq lists it as uncharacterized. Lineage: Eukaryota; Viridiplantae; Streptophyta; Magnoliopsida; Brassicales; Brassicaceae. The record is from RefSeq and is a predicted model, not a curated record. The transcript has 5 exons.
UACAUUAGGAUUUCUUGAUUUUUUGUUCUCCGUAGAUCUCUAGCUAUCCCUCUCCCUCUUCCUCCUCCGUUCUUCUUAAGUAAUGGUGGUCAUUACUCCUUCUGUCGACGCAACGAUUCACGAUUCCGUAACGUUUCUCCAAUCCAUUUAUAUAGAGUUCUCGAGCCAUUCGAUACAGAGCAGUAGCCUCUCCUCCCGUAACGCCUUCUCCAUACUCCUAUAUAUUGAGGUCCUCUAUCAUGCGUCGUCCUUCCACCUUUAACUCUUCUCCUCCACCUUUUAGUCGAUCAUCUCUGCACUAUUGGAUUCUCGCCGCAAACCCUAAACACUUUCCCCAAUUCCUCUUUCUCUCUCGAAGAAUCCGAAUUCACGCUUUGAAAUAUCUGAUGACAAAAAAAAGUGUAACCCUUUUGAAAGAUUCAACGGCAGCAUCUUCAAGCGACGAGGAUGAGUCUCGGCCGCCUGCUAAUCUAGAUUAGCUGGUGGAAAAUCGGGAACAAAGCGGUGAAGGCAUAGACAAUUCAAAGCGAGCAAAGAAGGAUACUUCAGCUUCAUCCUUUACACAGGGGGAAUCAAAGUGUAUGUUGAAGAUGUACUCUCUAUUUGCGUUUCUGGAUUUCGAGUUAGCUGCUCUCAUUCAAGAAGAGAAGUUCCUCAGCUUAGUUUCAGUCUUAGAGUUGGACAGUGUACUUACCUGAGCUUUAGGGAGAUUAUGAAAGGUGUUGAGCUCUUUGGUUUUAGAGCUUUUGUGGUCGUAAAUCCUUACUCUUGUGCUGCACAUAAGUCGUAGAACUUCUGUAGAAUUGUAAGGUUUUAUCUGCACAGUAAAACAGUAACACUGUCGUUUUCUUUGCGGAAUAAGAGUUUCAUCCACAGCAACAAAGGAAGACACUUUACCACCGAUAUGAUCACAUUUGAUUUUGAAAAAGGAGGAGGAGGUUGAAACAAGUAUCUAUCCACUGGCGGUUAAGAUAGAGCCAGCUCCGGAAGAUGGAAAGUCUGGAUCAUCAUCCACGAAUGCUCAGAUUACUAAAGCAAGCCACAUACGUGAAGGAGAAAGGUGAGAUCAAGCCAAGUGUGAUGAAGCAGUUCCUAUGGGUGAAUGGGUCGAGAUAUGAGCUGCAAGAUAUCUAUGGGAUUGGGAACACGGUUGAUGGGGCAGAUGCAAAAGAAUUGCGUUGUCUGAACCACGUGAUACCAUUGUUAUGUCUUGCAGACAAAUGUGUAUGUGUAGUAGAUGUGCUAAGAGAGGAAAAGACAAAACAACAAUGUCAUUUUGGAGAAAAGUUUAUACUUUUUUUUAAUCUUCUUCUCUUCCCCAACACAGACUCCAAAGUUCUAAGUUUUUGGCUGCAAAUUCCUCAUUGAACCUGAACUCUUCCUCUGUUACAAGUUUUUACAAUUUAAAAAUCAGUUAGUAGCUUUAGAUGUCCAAAAUCCUUCUCAGUUUCUUUUCUAAUUUUCUUCUGCUCUUCCUUUGAAUGUUGCAGGAGACUGGAAACAUCGAUGUGAAAGGGGGAGGGGAUGCCAACGACAUGAAGGUGUGGAGAAGAGUCGGUGAUUAGGAGUUGUGUUUUAUAAAAAAUGUAUUAUGUCUUUAUCUUGCGUCUUUAAGAAUAACUACUUUCCAACUUUAUUUUUGUCUUUAAGAACUACCGUCUUCACACAAUAUAUUCGGCUCUGAAUAGGUC